AUCCGUCUUGCUGGAUGCUGACGAGCGGCGGACGGGUGAGUAAUGCAUAGGAAUCUGCCCGAUAGUGGGGGAUAACCUGGGGAAACCCAGGCUAAUACCGCAUACGUCCUACGGGAGAAAGGGGGCUUCGGCUCCCGCUAUCGGAUGAGCCUAUGUCGGAUUAGCUAGUUGGUGAGGUAACGGCUCACCAAGGCCACGAUCCGUAGCUGGUCUGAGAGGAUGAUCAGCCACAUCGGGACUGAGACACGGCCCGAACUCCUACGGGAGGCAGCAGUGGGGAAUAUUGGACAAUGGGGGGAACCCUGAUCCAGCCAUGCCGCGUGUGUGAAGAAGGCCCUCGGGUUGUAAAGCACUUUCAGCGAGGAAGAACGCCUAGCGGUUAAUACCCGCUAGGAAAGACAUCACUCGCAGAAGAAGCACCGGCUAACUCCGUGCCAGCAGCCGCGGUAAUACGGAGGGUGCAAGCGUUAAUCGGAAUUACUGGGCGUAAAGCGCGCGUAGGUGGCUUGAUAAGCCGGUUGUGAAAGCCCCGGGCUCAACCUGGGAACGGCAUCCGGAACUGUCAAGCUAGAGUGCAGGAGAGGAAGGUAGAAUUCCCGGUGUAGCGGUGAAAUGCGUAGAGAUCGGGAGGAAUACCAGUGGCGAAGGCGGCCUUCUGGACUGACACUGACACUGAGGUGCGAAAGCGUGGGUAGCAAACAGGAUUAGAUACCCUGGUAGUCCACGCCGUAAACGAUGUCGACCAGCCGUUGGGUGCCUAGCGCACUUUGUGGCGAAGUUAACGCGAUAAGUCGACCGCCUGGGGAGUACGGGCCGCAAGGUUAAAACUCAAAUGAAUUUGACGGGGGCCCGCACAAGCGGUGGAGCAUGUGGUUUAAUUUCGAUGCAACGCGAGAACCUUACCUACUCUUGACAUCCUGCGAAAUUUGGGUAGAGAUACCUUAGUGCCUUUCGGGAACGCAGAGACAGUGCUGCAUGGCUGUCGUCAGCUCGUGUGUGAAUGUGGGUUAAGUCCCGUUACCGAGCGCACCGUUGUCCUAUUGGCAGCGCGUUAUGGGCAUACCUCUUAGGAGACCUGGCCGGUGUGACA
This 1090-nucleotide ribosomal RNA is filed under the name Vreelandella aquamarina. RNAcentral's name for it is "bacterial SSU rRNA". It matches the Rfam family "Bacterial small subunit ribosomal RNA", at positions 71 to 1162 of the family's 1533-position model. Lineage: Bacteria; Pseudomonadati; Pseudomonadota; Gammaproteobacteria; Oceanospirillales; Halomonadaceae. The record is from RNAcentral.